CUACGGGAUGCUCCAGCGAAUCAUUUACAAUGCACGAAAGUGUGAUAAUGCGAACCAAAGUGCCAUUCGUUUAGAAUGGCUUUUCUUCAAUGUAAAUAAUUGGAGGAAUAAGGACCGGGAAAGACUGGUGCCAGCCGCCGCGGUAAUACCAGCGGUUCAAGUCGCAUCCGCUUUUAUUAGGUCUAAAACAUCCGUAGCUUGCCGUUUAAGUCUUUUGUGAAAUCCCAUGUCUCAAGUGUGGGGCGUGCAGGAGAUACUGGACGGCUAGAGAUCGGUAGGCGUAAGGAGUACGCGAGGGGUAACGGUUAAAUGUGUUAAUCCUUCGUGGACUAACGAUGAGCGAAGGCACCUUACGAGGACGAGUCUGACAGUCAGGGAUGAAGGCCAGGGGCGCAAAACGGAUUAGAUACCCCCGUAGUC
RNAcentral lists this ribosomal RNA (420 nucleotides) under uncultured archaeon. Its description in RNAcentral is "partial 16S ribosomal RNA". It matches the Rfam family "Archaeal small subunit ribosomal RNA", at positions 323 to 746 of the family's 1478-position model. The record is from RNAcentral.